AUUGAACGCUGGCGGCAUGCUUUACACAUGCAAGUCGAACGGUAACAGGCCUUCGGGUGCUGACGAGUGGCGAACGGGUGAGUAAUGCAUCGGAACGUGCCCAGAGGUGGGGGAUAACGCAGCGAAAGCUGUGCUAAUACCGCAUGUGAUCUGAGGAUGAAAGCGGGGGACCAGGCAGCAAUGUUUGGCCUCGCGCCUUUGGAGCGGCCGAUGUCAGAUUAGGUAGUUGGUGGGGUAAAGGCCUACCAAGCCGACGAUCUGUAGCUGGUCUGAGAGGACGACCAGCCACACUGGGACUGAGACACGGCCCAGACUCCUACGGGAGGCAGCAGUGGGGAAUUUUGGACAAUGGGCGCAAGCCUGAUCCAGCAAUGCCGCGUGCGGGAAGAAGGCCUUCGGGUUGUAAACCGCUUUUGUACGGAACGAAAAGGCUCUGGCUAAUACCUGGGGCUGAUGACGGUACCGUAAGAAUAGGCACCGGCUAACUACGUG
Molecule: ribosomal RNA, 492 nt
Filed under: uncultured bacterium
Lineage: Bacteria
Description: partial 16S ribosomal RNA
Rfam family: Bacterial small subunit ribosomal RNA
Source: RNAcentral